RNAcentral lists this non-coding RNA (117 nucleotides) under Nomascus leucogenys (northern white-cheeked gibbon). The record is from Rfam by way of RNAcentral. Lineage: Eukaryota; Metazoa; Chordata; Mammalia; Primates; Hylobatidae.
GCUGGGCAUGGUGGCUCACGCCUGUAAUCCCAGAAUUCUGGGAGGCUGAGGCGGGAGGAUUGCUUGAGCCCAGGAGUUUGAGACCAGCCUGGGCAACACGGCAAAACCCCGUCUCUA